Molecule: transfer RNA, 73 nt
Filed under: Danionella translucida
Lineage: Eukaryota; Metazoa; Chordata; Actinopteri; Cypriniformes; Danionidae
Also listed under: 1 other name
Rfam family: tRNA
About the family: Transfer RNA (tRNA) molecules are approximately 80 nucleotides in length. Their secondary structure includes four short double-helical elements and three loops (D, anti-codon, and T loops). Further hydrogen bonds mediate the characteristic L-shaped molecular structure. tRNAs have two regions of fundamental functional importance: the anti-codon, which is responsible for specific mRNA codon recognition, and the 3' end, to which the tRNAs corresponding amino acid is attached (by aminoacyl-tRNA synthetases). tRNAs cope with the degeneracy of the genetic code in two manners: having more than one tRNA (with a specific anti-codon) for a particular amino acid; and 'wobble' base-pairing, i.e. permitting non-standard base-pairing at the 3rd anti-codon position.
Source: Rfam by way of RNAcentral
GGUUCUAUGGUGUAAUGGUUAGCACGCUGGACUUUUGAAUCCAGCAAUCUGAGUUCAAAUCUCAGUAGGACUU